GGCAACGCUCGGUUGCGUCGACAGUUAACGGUCCUGCCGGUGAUUUUCUCAGAUGAGGCCUUGAGUUUUCUCUUUCGUCGGUCGAAAAGGUUAGAAGCCAUCGAAAAAACUGCCAUCGGACUACCACAGCUGACAACAAGAGACGCGCGUGCACAACUGCAUACACACACACACACACACACACACACACACACACACACACACACACACACACACACACACACACACACACACACGGAAA
Molecule: long non-coding RNA, 241 nt
Organism: Megalobrama amblycephala (Wuchang bream)
Lineage: Eukaryota; Metazoa; Chordata; Actinopteri; Cypriniformes; Xenocyprididae
Exons: 2
Source: RefSeq, a predicted model, not a curated record